GACGAGCGCUGGCGGCGUGCCUAAUACAUGCAAGUAGAACGCACAGUUUAUACCGUAGCUUGCUACACCAUAAACUGUGAGUUGCGAACGGGUGAGUAACGCGUAGGUAACCUGCCUGGUAGCGUGGGAUGACUAUUGGAAACGAUAGCUAAUACCUCAUAAUAUUGAUUAUUGCAUGAUAAUUGAUUGAAAGAUGCUAUUGCAUCACUACCAGAUGGACCUGCGUUGUAUUAGCUAGUAGGUGAGGUAACGGCUCACCUAGGCGACGAUACAUAGCCGACCUGAGAGGGUGAUCGGCCACACUGGGAGUGAGACACGGCCCAGACUCCUGCGGGAGGCAGCAGUAGGGAAUCUUCGGCAAUGGACGAGAGUCUGACAGAGCAACGCCGCGUGAGUGAAGAAGGUUUUCGGAUCGUAAAGCUCUGUUGUAAGUGAAGAACGGAUGUGAGAGUGGAAGGUUCGCACUGGAAGGGAAUGUGACAAGAAGCGGAGGCUAAAUUCGGU
This 504-nucleotide ribosomal RNA is filed under the name uncultured bacterium. RNAcentral describes it as "partial 16S ribosomal RNA". It matches the Rfam family "Bacterial small subunit ribosomal RNA", at positions 28 to 507 of the family's 1533-position model. The record is from RNAcentral.